AUAUCAGACUUUGGAGAUGAGUCUUUAUCACAAUUUGCUGAUCAUUAUGAAGAAAUGUUGAAAGCUGCUGGAGUAGAAACAUCACACAUUGAGUUAGAAUGGACAAACCUUAAUGAGCUGUUGUAUGAAAACCAUACAGUAUCCACCCUGACAUGCCAGGAAAUCAACUUUUCUAUGAGAAAUGUCCAAAUAUAUUGGACCUCUUCCACCUGAUUCUCUCAAUACCAGCAGGGACAUCAGAAUUUCUCAAAAAUGACAACAAUGAAAACCAAGUACAGAAACAAGCUGAAGAGUAUAACAAUGACUAUGCUCAUGACCAAAAAAUCUACAUUCUUCGGAAAUUUGUGAUUUUGACCCAUCCAUUACAGUUGAUUUCUGGAAUAAAAACGGAUCCAGGAGACCAGAGUUUUUGCAAA
This is a long non-coding RNA of Saccostrea cuccullata (small rock oyster), 416 nucleotides long. RefSeq lists it as uncharacterized. The record is from RefSeq and is a predicted model, not a curated record. Lineage: Eukaryota; Metazoa; Mollusca; Bivalvia; Ostreida; Ostreidae. The transcript is spliced from 2 exons.